This 397-nucleotide ribosomal RNA is filed under the name uncultured bacterium. RNAcentral's name for it is "partial 16S ribosomal RNA". It matches the Rfam family "Bacterial small subunit ribosomal RNA", at positions 523 to 918 of the family's 1533-position model. The record is from RNAcentral.
AUACGUAGGGGGCAAGCGUUGUCCGGAAUGAUUGGGCGUAAAGGGCGCGUAGGCGGCCUGGUAAGUUUGGAGUGAAAGUCCUGCUUUUAAGGUGGGAAUUGCUUUGAAAACUGCUGGGCUUGAGUGCAGGAGAGGUAAGUGGAAUUCCCGGUGUAGCGGUGAAAUGCGUAGAGAUCGGGAGGAACACCAGUGGCGAAGGCGACUUACUGGACUGUUACUGACGCUGAGGCGCGAAAGUGUGGGGAGCGAACAGGAUUAGAUACCCUGGUAGUCCACACUGUAAACGAUGAAUGCUAGGUGUAGGGGGUAUCGACCCCUUCUGUGCCGGAGUAAACACAAUAAGCAUUCCGCCUGGGGAGUACGGCCGCAAGGUUGAAACUCAAAGGAAUUGACGGGG